GCAGGGGUGGGGAGGCGGGGAGGGAGGCAGGGCAGGCACUCUAGCUACCCAGAUGGCCCUGGCAGAAGGGAAAUGAAGGGAAUCUGGAAAGAGAGAGAUGCAGUCUAGAGAGGUCACUGGCCAGCUUUCCCAAUGGAACCUGGGAAACCUACAGCUGGGCUGAUCUGGGAUUUCUGAGCAGGCUCUCCCACAGCAACCCGGGGACAGCUUCCUUGUUCAGAGUCUGCACCCGCUCUGGAUUUCAAUCAGCUAGGUCCACGGAAGAGCAGUCCCUGGGGACCCCCAGGCAGAGACACCCCCCUUGAGUCAUCAGCCCCCAGGGACCUUUCCUUCCAGGUCACCGUCUUGAAUGAGGUCAGGCUCCAAAUGAGGCUCUGGGGGGCCCCUAAUUCAGGGCAGGGGCGCCGUCAGAUCUCUGAGCAUCAGGCCUGGCCCAAAUGGAGAGGCAAAAGAGGGACCGCAGAGCGGCACCGGGAGAAGAUCUGGUCCAACAAACGCGGUCAAAGUGAAUGGAAUUCUAUCAUUUCAUAAGGCAGGGGCCUCCCGAGUGUCAUGGCAUCCAGCCAUCUCAGGUCACAAAGGACAAAACAGGGGCCAAAGAAGAGAGCAGAACUUAUUCAGGGUCACCCAGGGUGCUAGUAAGUGGAAGAUCCAGGAGUCGGCCCAACCGCCCAGGAUGCCCCCUGUUCUAAGCCUCCACUCAGCCCUGUCACCCCUGUUCUAAGAUCCCUCUCAGAUCUGACACCCCCUGCUCUAAGGCCCUUCCUAACUCUGGCACCCCCUUUUCUAAGGCCCCUUCUAGCCCUGUCACCCCUGUUCUAAGAUCCCUCUCAGAUCUGACACCCCCUGCUCUAAGGCCCUCCUAACCCUGACACCCCCUUUUCUAAGGCCCCUUCUAGCCCUGUCACCCCUGUUCUAAGAUCCCUCUCAGAUCUGACACCCCUGCUCUAAGGCCCCUCCUAACCCUGACACCCCCCUUUUCUAAGGCCCCUUCUAGCCCUGUCACCCCUGUUCUAAGACCCCUCUCAGAUCUGACACCCCCUGCUCUAAGGCCCCUCCUAACCCUGACACCCCCUGUUCUAAGGCCCCUUCUAGCCCUGUCACCCCUGUUCUAAGAUCCCUCUCAGAUCUGACCCCCCCCUGCUCUAAGGCCCUUCCUAACUCUGACACCCCCUGUUCUAAGCCUCCCUUCAGCCCUGUCACCCCCUUUUCCAAGUUCUCUCCUAGCCCUGACAUUCUCUGUUCUAAAGUUCCUUCCUAGUUCUGAUAC
Monodelphis domestica (gray short-tailed opossum) is the source of this 1270-nucleotide long non-coding RNA. RefSeq lists it as uncharacterized. Lineage: Eukaryota; Metazoa; Chordata; Mammalia; Didelphimorphia; Didelphidae. The record is from RefSeq and is a predicted model, not a curated record.